UACGGGGGGGGGCAAGCGUUGUUCGGAAUUACUGGGCGUAAAGGGCGUGUAGGCGGCCAACUAAGUCCGACGUGAAAUCCCCAGGCUUAACCUGGGAACUGCGUCGGAUACUGGAUGGCUUGAAUUCGGGAGAGGGAUGCAGAAUUCCAGGUGUAGCGGUGAAAUGCGUAGAUAUCUGGAGGAAUACCGGUGGCGAAGGCGGCAUCCUGGACCGACAUUGACGCUGAAGCGCGAAAGCUAGGGGAGCAAACGGGG
Molecule: ribosomal RNA, 255 nt
Filed under: uncultured bacterium
Lineage: Bacteria
Description: partial 16S ribosomal RNA
Rfam family: Bacterial small subunit ribosomal RNA
Source: RNAcentral